AUGUUUUGGAUUUUGUCUGCUUACCUGUUGUCCUGUAUCCUUAGCCGGAUCCAUCACCCGCUUGCCUGUCAGCUGCUGGUGAAGCCGUAUUUCCGGGAUCACUUCAAACAUCAAUCGCAUCUUUAUCUUCGCAUCCCGGAGAUUCUCGCCCGAGCCUGUACUGCCAGUGUGACAAAUCCACCCUGCAUGCGCCGAUUACCCCUUUCCCUCCGAGUGUGUGUCAGCCCCCUUCCCUGGUUUCCCUCCGUUUAUUUAUCACUGGACAUAAUCUCCCACCCUAUGUAAAUAAUCCAGACACUGUAAAUAAAGAGCACUUUCUGCAUUACCUGCGUUUCUGUGUAUUCUGCCAUAGAGUCCGUUCGUUGAGCCUAACAGAAGCUCAGAAUUUGACAGAGUUCAAGUUCACUGCUCUAAUAACUAAUAAUGAUUAAUAUAAUAAUAACUUUAAUAUUGGCCAUAUUAUAUUUAUAUUACCAAAGUGAGAUUACUUUAGUCUCAUGAACAACAUUAGCUAAAUGUUAUUUACUAUUUAAUCUUAAAAUUACUGUUCAGUACAGAAAUGAAGCCCAACAAUCAUGUUUUUAGAGGCCCGUGGUCUCAGCCUCAGAUACUUAUCAAAUCAAACAGAGCUCAUAUAAAAACAAACAGAUGAACAAAAAAAUGUUCUCCUUCCUUUCUAUCAAAAAUGCUGUAUGAAACGUUUCCAGUGGUUAGGAUCAUGGUUGCUAGGCAACCUGAGCAGUGCGGCAGAGGCUAGACCGUCCCUUUUUUUUUUUUUCUUUCUUUUUUUUUGUCUGUCCCAUUUGGUUCUUUAGCCGUCAGAAUUGUUGUCUGAAGACCAACAAGGAUACCAAAUGGAUUUAUUCUGCCAAAUGGGUCAUCAUGGCAUUGCCGUAUUGGUCCAUUUGAUCAAACUUUGUUGUUAUUAUUUAUUUUAUUUUCAGUUGUUAGAGAUGGGACAGACAUGACCUGGGGGAUAGGAAAGGGAGAAAGAAAGAGAGGAAGGAAAAGAAAACAGAAGGCAAAAGAGACAGUGAGAAAGGGCACUUACAAAGACAAAGAGAAAGAAAAAAAAAAAAUCUCCUGGAUCACCUGUUGAGAGAAAAAGAAGAGAAGACAAGCAAAAAAAAAAAAAACCAAACAAAAACAAAGCAACAUACUAAACACAACACCAUCACGUUAAUCUAGCUAAGUGUGAACAUCAGUAAAUACUAAAUAUUGAAAGUUGUUGUGCAGCAUGCAGGACAGACAGCGCACAAUGUGCUUUGAAGUAGCAGCUAAGAAAGGUGUAGUUUAUGUCUACGAACAGUGAACACCCGUGUGCACACCUGUGUGGAUCAACGCGCUUGUAUACAAAAGGUUUCCCCAUGUAACAGUCUGCUAGAGGGUGUGGAGGGCCAUAGCCCCGUCCCCCAGGGCAUGAAGCAGGCAUGGAGGAGAUCCAGGCUCCAGACAUCCAGAGGCCCCAGAGUGCGAGAGCCCAAGGAGUACCACCGGAGGGGCAUCCGUGCCACCUUCCUGGGAAGGGCUGAGGAGAUCCCCAGACGAGGGGUCACCCAGUAGCCACGGAGCAGAAGCCAGAGGGGGCUGCACUGGCGUGCCCGCCAGCCAGCUGUGCCAUAGUGAACCGAGUUGCAGGCCCCGAGGCCGGAGGCCCGAGGGCCCCUUUGCCCCGGAAGAGGCCUGACCGAGCGACAGGUCAGGCCUUUUUAUUCAAUCAUCUUCUGGAAGAGAGAGACCCCUGCACAGCUCAAACGCCAGUUGCAAGAGCUCUAACAUUAGAAUCAUAAACUGUGUCUCAUAUAGGUGUUAUUUUGGUACUUUACACGUCACACAGUCUCAAACAUUGCUUAUAUGGAAUGUUCCUCAUUUCUGUGUCUUAUCUAUUAAUAUGCCUGUGCACUAAAACUUCCUGUUUUUCAGUUUGGCUGAGCACUUACUUUGUGAGUCAAAGGUGGCCUUGCUCUACAAGCCUUCAUUAUUAAAGUACAUAAAACAAUAUAAUAGGAAAAUAAGGAUACUAAGGAUACUAAGGAUAUUGAAUAGUGGUAUUGUAAAGCGCGUUGAGGGGUUCCGAAAAGCGCUAUAUAAAUGCAAUCCAUUAUUAUUAUUAUUAUUAUUGAUUUCCUGACAGUUCUUCCCCUUUUUGUGUUUUGUAAGAAACACAACAUAAUUCCUAAUUUAUCACAUUAAGUUUACUUCAAUCCAAUCCAAUUCAAUUUUAUUUAUAUAGCGCCAAAUCACAACAAAAGUCCCCUCAAGGCGCUUCAUAGAUACAGAGGAAAACCCAACAAUCAUAUGACCCCCUAUGAGCAAGCAGUUUGGCGACAGGAUCAUGGUUGCUAGGCAACCUGAGCAGUGCGGCAGAGGCUAGACCGUCCCAUUUCACAAGCCUUGCACUUCUGGCCUUCUCGGUCUUCGGAGGACGCGGCCCACGUAGACCACGAAGGCCGGGUCCUCUGAAGGAUCCAUUAAACACGUCGUUGACCUUCAUGUGGCUUCUCUGCAGUGUGUUUUCCUCCCCGCUUCUUCGUUCUUUAUUCCCAGUUUAGUUCUCUAGUUUCUUACAUUUUUGGUUUGAGUUUUAUUCUGCCCUCACACUUAACUAGGCAGAAUAGUAAAAAGACUGGUGAAACGGCUACUUCUGGAGGCACAUUGCACAGUCUCCCAGACAUCUGACCCAGAUGUGAUGUUGUCAGCGGAGAAGGAGCACCUGGAGAUCCGGUCCACCUGCUUUGGAUCAACAUCCAAAUCCCGCAGUUAACUCGCCAAAGCAGCAGUAGAAGCAUGGGCAAAGGCCGAAGCAGCAUGUAUCAGAGCAAAGUUUACAUGACGGGAGAUACCUACCGACCUACUUUCUGAAAUUGAUGCAGCCAAAUCAGAAGGGUCUUUACAUGGACUAGUGUAUUUGGACACAUUGCGUGUCAUUGCCCCAAUAGUUGAUAAGUUGCCAACAAAUCUUCAAGACAAGUGGAUGUCAGAGGGGACUAAAUACAAGCAAAGACAUGAUGUAUA
RNAcentral lists this long non-coding RNA (3015 nucleotides) under Oreochromis niloticus (Nile tilapia). RNAcentral describes it as "lncRNA (ENSONIG00000029458.1)". Lineage: Eukaryota; Metazoa; Chordata; Actinopteri; Cichliformes; Cichlidae. The record is from RNAcentral.